Molecule: ribosomal RNA, 253 nt
Filed under: uncultured bacterium
Lineage: Bacteria
Description: partial 16S ribosomal RNA
Rfam family: Bacterial small subunit ribosomal RNA
Source: RNAcentral
UACGUAGGGUGCAAGCGUUAAUCGGAAUUACUGGGCGUAAAGCGCGCGUAGGCGGACCCACAAGUCGGGGGUGAAAGCCCGAGGCUCAACCUCGGAACUGCCUUCGAUACUGCGGGUCUCGAGUCCGGGAGAGGUGAGUGGAAUUCCUAGUGUAGAGGUGAAAUUCGUAGAUAUUAGGAAGAACACCAGUGGCGAAGGCGGCUCACUGGCCCGGUACUGACGCUGAGGUGCGAAAGCGUGGGGAGCAAACAGG